GACGAACGCUGGCGGCGUGCUUAACACAUGCAAGUCGAACGGGGUGUUUAUUUCGGUAAACACCAAGUGGCGAACGGGUGAGUAACGCGUAAGCAAUCUACCUUCAAGAUGGGGACAACACUUCGAAAGGGGUGCUAAUACCGAAUGAAUGUAAGAGUAUCGCAUGAGACACUUACUAAAGGAGGCCUCUGAAUAUGCUUCCGCUUGAAGAUGAGCUUGCGUCUGAUUAGCUAGUUGGUGAGGGUAAAGGCCCACCAAGGCGACGAUCAGUAGCCGGUCUGAGAGGAUGAACGGCCACAUUGGGACUGAGACACGGCCCAGACUCCUACGGGAGGCAGCAGUGGGGAAUCUUCCGCAAUGGGCGAAAGCCUGACGGAGCAACGCCGCGUGAACGAUGAAGGUCUUAGGAUCGUAAAGUUCUGUUGUUAGGGACGAAGGAUAAGGAUUAUAAUACAGUCUUUGUUUGACGGUACCUAACGAGGAAGCCACGGCUAACUACGUGCCAGCAGCCGCGGUAAUACGUAGGCGGCAAGCGUUGUCCGGAAUUAUUGGGCGUAAAGGGAGCGCAGGCGGGAAACUAAGCGGAUCUUAAAAGUGCGGGGCUCAACCCCGUGAGGGGGUCCGAACUGGUUUUCUUGAGUGCAGGAGAGGAAAGCGGAAUUCCCAGUGUAGCGGUGAAAUGCGUAGAUAUUGGGAAGAACACCAGUGGCGAAGGCGGCUUUCUGGACUGUAACUGACGCUGAGGCUCGAAAGCUAGGGUAGCGAACGGGAUUAGAUACCCUGGUAGUCC
This 790-nucleotide ribosomal RNA is filed under the name uncultured bacterium. RNAcentral describes it as "bacterial SSU rRNA". It matches the Rfam family "Bacterial small subunit ribosomal RNA", at positions 28 to 796 of the family's 1533-position model. The record is from RNAcentral.